UGGGGAAUAUUGCACAAUGGAGGGAACUCUGAUGCAGCGACGCCGCGUGAACGAAGAAGGCUUUCGAGUCGUAAAGUUCUUUUAUAUGGGAAGAUAAUGACGGUACCAUAAGAAGAAGCCCCGGCUAACUACGUGCCAGCAGCCGCGGUAAUACGUAGGGGGCUAGCGUUGUCCGGAAUCACUGGGCGUAAAGGGUUCGCAGGCGGAAAUGCAAGUCAGGUGUAAAAGGCAGUAGCUUAACUACUGUAAGCAUUUGAAACUGCAUAACUUGAGAAGAGUAGAGGUAAGUGGAAUUUUUAGUGUAGCGGUGAAAUGCGUAGAUAUUAAAAAGAAUACCGGUGGCGAAGGCGACUUACUGGGCUCAUUCUGACGCUGAGGAACGAAAGCGUGGGUAGCAAACAGG
This 403-nucleotide ribosomal RNA is filed under the name bacterium. Its description in RNAcentral is "partial 16S ribosomal RNA". It matches the Rfam family "Bacterial small subunit ribosomal RNA", at positions 355 to 776 of the family's 1533-position model. The record is from RNAcentral.